UACGGGGGGGGCAAGCGUUGUUCGGAAUUACUGGGCGUAAAGGGCUCGUAGGCGGCCAACUAAGUCAGACGUGAAAUCCCUCGGCUUAACCGGGGAACUGCGUCUGAUACUGGAUGGCUUGAGUUUGGGAGAGGGAUGCGGAAUUCCAGGUGUAGCGGUGAAAUGCGUAGAUAUCUGGAGGAACACCGGUGGCGAAGGCGGCAUCCUGGACCAACACUGACGCUGAGUGAGCGAAAGCCAGGUGAGCAAACGGG
Molecule: ribosomal RNA, 254 nt
Filed under: uncultured bacterium
Lineage: Bacteria
Description: partial 16S ribosomal RNA
Rfam family: Bacterial small subunit ribosomal RNA
Source: RNAcentral